CUUGUAGUAAAUUGUAUGGCGCGUAAACAUAUUGCAGUGGAAUUUUUGUCUAUUUCACUUGUUUAUGGCGCAGAUAACUGAUUUUUAAAAAUCGAAGAACAAGUGCUAUAUCAUAUUGUUUAUUUGACGGCGGAAUGACGGUUAGAGAUUCAGAUAAUAGGGUCAGUAUACAUCUGGAAGUCAACGAGAGACUCGGCUAAGUGCCUAAGUCGGCUUUGAAAUACGAUAAAGAACCAGUUCAACGCCGCUGCAGAUAGGUAACUACCAUCUGACUGUGUUGGAGCAAUCAAGCGAUGGUACAAUACCUGUAAAAUUAGUGGUAAGUAGAUCCAUUUUAUAGCAUGUAUAUUUAUAGUGUAUUGUGCUCGCCUCGGUAUUGUGUCUGAUUUGUUUGAACACAUCUGGUGUGUGUAACUUAAUAUUUAUUAUAAACUGGAUUGUGCGUGACAAAAAAUAUAAGAACGUUUAUAAACACAAGCAUAUUCAUAGCCUAAUAAUUCGCAAUACUCAAAAUGAUUUUAAUUUUGUUUUUAAUAGAUAGCGUCAUAGCGAUAGGUGUAAUUGGCAAUUACGGGCUGUGGUUCUAUUGAUGGCUAUAGUUUUACUUGGAUGGGAAAACAGAAGAAAAUAAUUUCCAAC
Paramuricea clavata is the source of this 639-nucleotide non-coding RNA. The record is from the annotation of a GenBank genome assembly. Lineage: Eukaryota; Metazoa; Cnidaria; Anthozoa; Malacalcyonacea; Plexauridae.